Molecule: unclassified non-coding RNA, 262 nt
Filed under: Hevea brasiliensis (rubber tree)
Lineage: Eukaryota; Viridiplantae; Streptophyta; Magnoliopsida; Malpighiales; Euphorbiaceae
Source: RNAcentral
GCCCCCUUUCCCCAAUCCAACAGCAUAAAGCAAUGCCUGGGUGGCGAGAACGCCACUUAUUUGACUGGCAACACCUUGGAUGCCCCGCCAAAGUGAGUAAUCCAAGUAAUCAGGGGUAACGCUGAUGGGAAAUCCUUCAGGAAGCAUAAGGCGAAUGAAGAGAGCUUUACAUUGUAGCCAUAAAUUCCCCCCAGCGCUCAACCAUGAUGGUGAUUUAUCAUCAUGUGAUGGUCCUGAUGAUGAUGGAGCAACGACAAAUUCA